UACAGAGGGUGCAAGCGUUGUUCGGAAUUAUUGGGCGUAAAGGGAGUGUAGGCGGUGAGUUAAGUCUUCUGUGAAAGCUGUGGGCUUAGCCUGCAAAGUGCAGAGGAAACUGGCUGACUUGAGUAUUGGAGAGGGCAGGGGAAUACCCAGUGUAGAGGUGAAAUUCGUAGAUAUGGGGAGGAACACCGGUGGCGAAGGCGGCCAUCUGGACGGUAACUGACGCUGAGACGCGAAAGCGUGGGUAGCAAACAGG
RNAcentral lists this ribosomal RNA (253 nucleotides) under uncultured bacterium. Its description in RNAcentral is "partial 16S ribosomal RNA". It matches the Rfam family "Bacterial small subunit ribosomal RNA", at positions 524 to 776 of the family's 1533-position model. The record is from RNAcentral.